This is a non-coding RNA of Phalacrocorax carbo (great cormorant), 837 nucleotides long. Lineage: Eukaryota; Metazoa; Chordata; Aves; Suliformes; Phalacrocoracidae. The record is from RefSeq and is a predicted model, not a curated record.
CCCAUUGAGUCCAAUGUCCAUCUGCUGAGACCGCUGAUGCCAGAGCAAGGGAAACCAGCUGGCUCCAUGACCAGAAGUCAGCUAAUUUCACAUCAGUGCUUCUCUGGGUGGUUAAUGGAAAUGCUGACGUUUACCUACAGGAGCUCUUGUGCCAUUAUAACACAGUUGUCAAAAAAUGGUACUCCAUGGGGAGCCUCCUAUGCUGUCUGCUCUGAGAAGUGGAAGGUUUUGUGCAUAUAUUCAGUUAAUUCUGAAAUCUCAGAUGUCAUCUCCUCAGCCCAUUUCCAUAAUUACUGAUGUGGAACCAAAUUGUGCAGCCAUGAUGGAAAUGGAAAAAAAGUCAUUCAAGGGCGAAAAGAUGUGAACAACAGGAAGAGAAAGAGGAAGAAGGCAAAACAAUAAAAAUGUGCCCUUGUGCAGUGAAAAGUCCUUUCCCCAUUGCCCACAGAUGUACAGGUAUUAAGCACAGGGUGUAUUGUUUCAUUGAGGAAAAAAAUUGGAAUGACAGAGAACAAAGUAAGGGUUUUUUUGUUGUUGUUUUGGGUUGUUUUUUGGGGAGUGAGUUUGCUGAGCGUAAACCCAUAACUUGUCAAUAAUUUUGCUUUUGUCAGAACUUUAGCUGAGGUCUAAGGCUCCAUGAUAAAGCUAGCCGCUACCCAGGAUGGUUUGGAGUUUAAAGCCCAGCCAGACAAAUCUGUCUAGGUCUGGUCUGAAACAGGGCAUAGAAGGUGGCAAAAAAUGCAUUGAAAAUUCAGGAAUCAGAGUGAAUUGCCUUAUCAUCGUCAGAUAGUAUUUUAUGUUGCAAGAUUGAAUUUAGAAGACAAUAAGGGGACACGA